Molecule: ribosomal RNA, 552 nt
Filed under: uncultured bacterium
Lineage: Bacteria
Description: bacterial SSU rRNA
Rfam family: Bacterial small subunit ribosomal RNA
Source: RNAcentral
GAGUUUGAUCCUGGCUCAGAUUGAACGCUGGCGGCAUGCUUUACACAUGCAAGUCGAGCGGCAGCGCGGGACUCGGGCAACUGAGCCCUGGCGGCGAGCGGCGGACGGAUGAGUAAUACAUCGGAACGUAUCCCGUAGUGGGGGAUAACCCGGCGAAAGCCGGGCUAAUACCGCAUAUGCUCUACGGAGGAAAGCGGGGGACCCGGCAGGCAACUGAGGGGCCUCGCGCUAUGGGAGCGGCCGAUGGCCGAUUAGCUAGUUGGCGGGGUAAAGGCCCACCAAGGCGACGAUCGGUAGCUGGUCUGAGAGGAUGAUCAGCCACACUGGGACUGAGACACGGCCCAGACUCCUACGGGAGGCAGCAGUGGGGAAUUUUGGACAAUGGGGGCAACCCUGAUCCAGCCAUGCCGCGUGCGGGAAGAAGGCCUUCGGGUUGUAAACCGCUUUUAGUCGGGAAGAAAGGGUUCUCUUGAAUAGGGGGGAUCUUUGACGGUACCGGCGGAAUAAGCACCGGCUAACUACGUGCCAGCAGCCGCGGUAAUCCCAAUCGCC